GGGUCAGUAGGUUGGUCGUGCCACCGGUACGUACUGGUCUCACUGAUUCCUCCUUCCUGAAGAACCAUAAUGCCAUUAAUUUGGUGUUGCGGGGAAACAGGACCGUUACUUUGAAAAAAUUAGAGUGUUUAACGCAAGCUAACGCUUGAAUACAUUAGCAUGGAAUAAUGAAAUAGGACGAUCGAUCCUAUUUUGUUGGUUUCUAGGAUUGACGUA
This 216-nucleotide ribosomal RNA is filed under the name Glomeromycotina sp. RNAcentral describes it as "partial small subunit ribosomal RNA". The stretch from base 40 to 216 matches the Rfam family "Eukaryotic small subunit ribosomal RNA", at positions 686 to 864 of the family's 1831-position model. The record is from RNAcentral. Lineage: Eukaryota; Fungi; Glomeromycota.